Molecule: ribosomal RNA, 254 nt
Filed under: uncultured bacterium
Lineage: Bacteria
Description: partial 16S ribosomal RNA
Rfam family: Bacterial small subunit ribosomal RNA
Source: RNAcentral
UACGUAGGGGGCAAGCGUUGUCCGGAAUCAUUGGGCGUAAAGCGCGUGUAGGCGGCCCGAUAAGUCCGCUGUGAAAGUCCAGGGCUCAACCCUGGAAUGCCGGUGGAUACUGUCGGGCUCGAGUCCGGAAGAGGCGAGUGGAAGUUCCUGGUGUAGCGGUGAAAUGCGCAGAUAUCAGGAGGAACACCAAUGGCGAAGGCAGCUCGCUGGGACGGUACUGACGCUGAGACGCGAAAGCGUGGGGAGCAAACAGG